GGGCAUUUGGUCUAGGGGUAUGAUAUCUGCUUCGCACUACUUGUACAGUGUUUGCAGAGGGUCCUGGGUUCAAUUCCCAGAAUGUCCA
Molecule: non-coding RNA, 88 nt
Organism: Xylariaceae sp. FL0662B
Lineage: Eukaryota; Fungi; Ascomycota; Sordariomycetes; Xylariales; Xylariaceae
Source: the annotation of a GenBank genome assembly